GACGAACGCUGGCGGCGUGCUUAACACAUGCAAGUCGAACGGAAAGGCCCUGCUUUUGUGGGGUGCUCGAGUGGCGAACGGGUGAGUAACACGUGAGUAACCUGCCCUUGACUUUGGGAUAACUUCAGGAAACUGGGGCUAAUACCGGAUAGGAGCUCCUGCUGCAUGGUGGGGGUUGGAGAGUUUCGGCGGUUGGGGAUGGACUCGCGGCUUAUCAGCUUGUUGGUGGGGUAGUGGCUUACCAAGGCUUUGACGGGUAGCCGGCCUGAGAGGGUGACCGGCCACAUUGGGACUGAGAUACGGCCCAGACUCCUACGGGAGGCAGCAGUGGGGAAUAUUGCACAAUGGGCGGAAGCCUGAUGCAGCAACGCCGCGUGCGGGAUGACGGCCUUCGGGUUGUAAACCGCUUUCGCCUGUGACGAAGCGUGAGUGACGGUAAUGGGUAAAGAAGCACCGGCUAACUACGUGCCAGCAGCCGCGGUGAUACGUAGGGUGCGAGCGUUGUCCGGAUUUAUUGGGCGUAAAGGGCUCGUAGGUGGUUGAUCGCGUCGGAAGUGUAAUCUUGGGGCUUAACCCUGAGCGUGCUUUCGAUACGGGUUGACUUGAGGAAGGUAGGGGAGAAUGGAAUUCCUGGUGGAGCGGUGGAAUGCGCAGAUAUCAGGAGGAACACCAGUGGCGAAGGCGGUUCUCUGGGCCUUUCCUGACGCUGAGGAGCGAAAGCGUGGGGAGCGAACAGGCUUAGAUACCCUGGUAGUCCACGCUGUAAACGGUGGGUACUAGGUGUGGGGUCCAUUCCACGGGUUCCGUGCCGUAGCUAACGCUUUAAGUACCCCGCCUGGGGAGUACGGCCGCAAGGCUAAAACUCAAAGGAAUUGACGGGGCCCCGCACAAGCGGCGGAGCAUGCGGAUUAAUUCGAUGCAACGCGUAGAACCUUACCUGGGUUUGACAUGGAUCGGGAGUGCUCAGAGAUGGGUGUGCCUCUUUUGGGGUCGGUUCACAGGUGGUGCAUGGCUGUCGUCAGCUCGUGUCGUGAGAUGUUGGGUUAAGUCCCGCAACGAGCGCAACCCUUGUUCACUGUUGCCAGCACGUUAUGGUGGGGACUCAGUGGAGACCGCCGGGGUCAACUCGGAGGAAGGCGGGGAUGACGUCAAGUCAUCAUGCCCCUUAUGUCCAGGGCUUCACGCAUGCUACAAUGGCUGGUACAGGGAGUGGCGAGCCUGUGAGGGUGAGCGAAUCUCGGAAAGCCGGUCUCAGUUCGGAUUGGGGUCUGCAACUCGACCUCAUGAAGUCGGAGUCGCUAGUAAUCGCAGAUCAGCAACGCUGCGGUGAAUACGUUCCCGGG
This 1343-nucleotide ribosomal RNA is filed under the name uncultured bacterium. RNAcentral's name for it is "16S ribosomal RNA". It matches the Rfam family "Bacterial small subunit ribosomal RNA", at positions 28 to 1378 of the family's 1533-position model. The record is from RNAcentral.